Molecule: ribosomal RNA, 253 nt
Filed under: uncultured bacterium
Lineage: Bacteria
Description: partial 16S ribosomal RNA
Rfam family: Bacterial small subunit ribosomal RNA
Source: RNAcentral
UACAGAGGGUGCGAGCGUUGUCCGGAAUCACUGGGCGUAAAGGGCGCGUAGGUGGCGCUCCAAGUCCGUGGUGAAAGCUCGAUGCUCAACAUCGAGUCGGCCACGGAGACUGGAGGGCUCGAGCACUGUAGGGGCAGAUGGAAUUCCGGGUGUAGCGGUGGAAUGCGUAGAGAUCCGGAAGAACACCAGUGGCGAAGGCGGCUUACUGGUCCGGUUCUGACGCUGAGGCGCGAAAGCGUGGGGAGCAAACAGG